This 402-nucleotide ribosomal RNA is filed under the name uncultured prokaryote. Its description in RNAcentral is "bacterial SSU rRNA". It matches the Rfam family "Bacterial small subunit ribosomal RNA", at positions 355 to 774 of the family's 1533-position model. The record is from RNAcentral.
UGGGGAAUAUUGCACAAUGGGCGAAAGCCUGAUGCAGCAACGCCGCGUGAGUGAUGAAGGCCUUCGGGUUGUAAAGCUCUGUCUUUGGGGACGAUAAUGACGGUACCCAAGGAGGAAGCCACGGCUAACUACGUGCCAGCAGCCGCGGGAAUACGUAGGUGUCAAGCGUUGUCCGACUUUACUGGGCGUAAAGGGUGCGUAGGUGGAUAUUUAAGUCAGAUGUGAAACCCCCAGGCUCAACCUGGGAACUGCAUUUGAAACUGGAUAUCUGGAGUGCAGGAGAGGUAAGGGGAAUUCCUAGUGUAGCGGUGAAAUGCGUAGAGAUUAGGAAGAACACCAGUGGCGAAGGCGACUUACUGGACUGUAACUGACACUGAGGCACGAAAGCGUGGGUAGCAAACA